AAAUUGAAGAGUUUGAUCAUGGCUCAGAUUGAACGCUGGCGGCAGGCCUAACACAUGCAAGUCGAGCGGAAACGAGUUAUCAGAACCUUCGGGGAACGACAACGGCGUCGAGCGGCGGACGGGUGAGUAAUGCCUAGGAAAUUGCCCUGAUGUGGGGGAUAACCAUUGGAAACGAUGGCUAAUACCGCAUGAUGCCUACGGGCCAAAGAGGGGGACCUUCGG
This 222-nucleotide ribosomal RNA is filed under the name Vibrio parahaemolyticus. RNAcentral describes it as "partial 16S ribosomal RNA". It matches the Rfam family "Bacterial small subunit ribosomal RNA", at positions 1 to 220 of the family's 1533-position model. Lineage: Bacteria; Pseudomonadati; Pseudomonadota; Gammaproteobacteria; Vibrionales; Vibrionaceae. The record is from RNAcentral.